CCUACGGGUGACUGCAGUGAGGAAUAUUGGUCAAUGGUCGCGAGCCUGAACCAGCCAAGUAGCGUGAAGGAGGACUGCCCUACGGGUUGUAAACUUCUUUUAUCAGGGAAUAAAGUGAGGCACGUGUGCCUUUUUGUAUGUACUUUAUGAAAAAGGAUCGGCUAACUCCGUGCCAGCAGCCGCGGUAAUACGGAGGAUCCGAGCGGUAUCCGGAUUUAUUGGGUUUAAAGGGAGCGUAGAUGGGUUGUUAAGUCAGUUGGGAAAGUUUGCGGCUCAACCGUAAAACUGCAAUUGAUACUGGCAGCCUUGAGUACAGUUGAGGUAGGCGGAAUUCGUGGUGUAGCGGUGAAAUGCUUAGAUAUCACGAAGAACUCCGAUUGCGAAGGCAGCUUACUAAACUGCCACUGACAUUGAUGCUCGAAAGUGUGGGUAUCAAACAGGAUUAGAUACCCCAGUAGUC
Molecule: ribosomal RNA, 460 nt
Filed under: uncultured bacterium
Lineage: Bacteria
Description: partial 16S ribosomal RNA
Rfam family: Bacterial small subunit ribosomal RNA
Source: RNAcentral